GCCCAGACUCCUACGGGAGGCAGCAGCAGUAGGGAAUCUUCCACAAUGGACGCAAGUCUGAUGGAGCAACGCCGCGUGAGUGGAAGGGAAUUUCUCGUAAAGCUCGUUGUUAAAGAAGAACGUGGGUGAGAGAUAACUGUUCACCCAGUGACGGUAUUUAACCAGAAAGCCACGGCUUAACUACGCGGUAAUA
RNAcentral lists this ribosomal RNA (193 nucleotides) under uncultured Pediococcus sp. RNAcentral's name for it is "partial 16S ribosomal RNA". It matches the Rfam family "Bacterial small subunit ribosomal RNA", at positions 329 to 513 of the family's 1533-position model. Lineage: Bacteria; Bacillati; Bacillota; Bacilli; Lactobacillales; Lactobacillaceae. The record is from RNAcentral.